This 494-nucleotide ribosomal RNA is filed under the name uncultured bacterium. RNAcentral describes it as "partial 16S ribosomal RNA". It matches the Rfam family "Bacterial small subunit ribosomal RNA", at positions 28 to 507 of the family's 1533-position model. The record is from RNAcentral.
GACGAACGCUGGCGGCGUGCUUAACACAUGCAAAUCGAACGGAAAGGCCUGCUUUCCCUUGUGGAUUGCGGGUACUCGAGUGGCGAACGGGUGAGUAACACGUGAGUGAUCUGCCCCCAACUUGGGUAUAAGCCUGGGAAACUGGGUCUAAUUCCCGAUAGGACUGCAGGGUGGUGCCUGUGGUGGAAAACGAUUUUCCAGUGGUUGGGGAUGAGCUCGCGGCCUAUCAGCUUGUUGGUGGGGUAAUGGCCUACCAAGGCGGCGACGGGUAGCCGGCCUGAGAGGGUGGACGGCCACAUUGGGACUGAGAUACGGCCCAGACUCCUACGGGAGGCAGCAGUGGGGAAUAUUGCACAAUGGGCGGAAGCCUGAUGCAGCGACGCCGCGUGGGGGAUGACGGCCUUCGGGUUGUAAACUCCUUUCGACCGCGAGGAAGCCACCUGGUUGGAAGGGUGGUGACGGUAGUGGUAGAAGAAGCACCGGCUAACUACGUG